ACUCCUACGGGAGGCAGCAGUGGGGAAUAUUGGACAAUGGACCAAAAGUCUGAUCCAGCAAUUCUGUGUGUUUGAUGAAGGCCUUCGGUUGUAAGAACUUUCAGUGGGGAAGAAGCAAGUGACGGUACCCACAGAAGAAGCGACGGCUAAAUACGUGCCAGCAGCCGCGGUAAUACGUAUGUCGCAAGCGUUAUCCGGAAUUAUUGGGCAUAAAGGGGCGUCUAGGCGGUCUAAUAAGUCUGAUGUGAAAAUGCGGGGCUCAACUCCGUAUUGCGUUGGAAACUGUUAGACUAGAGUUUUGGAGAGGUAGGCGGAACUACAAGUGUAGAGGUGAAAUUCGUAGAGAUUUGUAGGAAUGCCGAUGACGAAGGUAGCUUACUGGACAAAUACUGACGCUGAAGCGCGAAAGCUAGGGGAGCAAACAGGAUUAGAUACCCUGGUAGGUCAGUC
RNAcentral lists this ribosomal RNA (450 nucleotides) under uncultured bacterium. RNAcentral's name for it is "bacterial SSU rRNA". It matches the Rfam family "Bacterial small subunit ribosomal RNA", at positions 335 to 800 of the family's 1533-position model. The record is from RNAcentral.